GACGAACGCUGGCGGCAUGCCUAAUACAUGCAAGUCGAGCGAACAGAUGAAGUGCUUGCACUUCUGACGUUAGCGGCGAACGGGUGAGUAACACGUAAGGAAUCUACCUAUAAGCGGGGGAUAACAUUCGGAGACGGGUGCUAAUACCGCAUAAUAUCUUCUUCCGCAUGGAAGAAGAUUGAAAGACGGCUCUGCUGUCACUUAUAGAUGACCUUGCGGUGCAUUAGUUAGUUGGUGGGGUAACGGCCUACCAAGACGAUGAUGCAUAGCCGACCUGAGAGGGUGAUCGGCCACAUUGGGACUGAGACACGGCCCAAACUCCUACGGGAGGCAGCAGUAGGGAAUCUUCCGCAAUGGGCGAAAGCCUGACGGAGCAAUGCCGCGUGAGUGAAGAAGGCCUUCGGGUCGUAAAACUCUGUUAUAAGAGAAGAACAAAUUGUAGAGUAACUACUACAGUCUUGACGGUAUCUUAUCAGAAAGCCACGGCUAACUACGUGCCAGCAGCCGCCGUAA
Molecule: ribosomal RNA, 513 nt
Filed under: uncultured bacterium
Lineage: Bacteria
Description: partial 16S ribosomal RNA
Rfam family: Bacterial small subunit ribosomal RNA
Source: RNAcentral